This is a long non-coding RNA of Mus musculus (house mouse), 328 nucleotides long. RefSeq annotates it as predicted gene, 34328. The record is from RefSeq and is a predicted model, not a curated record. The transcript has 3 exons. Lineage: Eukaryota; Metazoa; Chordata; Mammalia; Rodentia; Muridae.
GUAGGCUGACUUAAAAUUAGAACAAGGCAGACUUCUUCCCCAACUGCUUCCCCAGGUUUCCCUGGGGAUUUGCAAACAUUUGCCAACCUCCCCUGUUUCCCAAGCCUGAACUUCAAAGGCCACAGAGGACUGCUGGCAUUUCCUGGUUCUGUGACACCCUGGUCCCCCCUGGUAUGAUGAAGCUCAGAGCCUGCCAGAGCUUCUUCUGGGAGCACUACACCAGACCACAUAACGCCCACGAGGCUACGGUUUCCUGGAAUCCCUCGCUGGAAUCCACGAGGAGUCACUGGGUCGAAUUCCUAAGACCUCCCGUUUGUGACCAGAAAGG